This 360-nucleotide long non-coding RNA is filed under the name Malus domestica (apple). RNAcentral's name for it is "long non-coding RNA (MDOM_LNC012865)". The record is from RNAcentral. Lineage: Eukaryota; Viridiplantae; Streptophyta; Magnoliopsida; Rosales; Rosaceae.
AUUUGGGGAUGAUCCUGAGGUUGUGUAGAUCACUGUGGUAUAUUUAUGUACCCAUUUUGAGCUAUGUAUGAGAAGUUAUUAGCUAAUUUUGCUUAUGUGCUUUAAAAUAACGUUUUUAUAGUUAAUUCGCAUAUAGGUGAGACUUAUCUCGAGGACAAGCGUAUCCAAGGAUGACUCAGGGGCUACGACCCUUUGACUUAUCAAUGAGUGGGCUUUUGGUUUUCAGUAUAUAUUUAUAUACUUGAUAUUUUCCCAGAAAUAUGUGUUUAAAUAAUAAUGUCAUAAAUGUCAUGCAUAUAAGUUUAUAAUUUAUACAUGAUUGGUAUGUAAUAUAUAUAUAUAUAUAUAUAUGUGUGGUGU